CCUACGGGUGACAGCAGUGAGGAAUAUUGGUCAAUGGUCGGGAGACUGAACCAGCCAAGCCGCGUGAGGGAUGAAGGUACAGAGUAUCGUAAGCCUCUUUUGUCAGGGAACAAGGGCGGGGGCGCGUCCCCGGAUGAGUGUACCUGAAGAAAAAGCAUCGGCUAACUCCGUGCCAGCAGCCGCGGUAAUACGGAGGAUGCGAGCGUUAUCCGGAUUGAUUGGGUGAAAGGGGGGCGCAGGGGGUCUGUGAAGCCAGCGGUCAAAGCCCGGGGCUCAACCCCGGCCCGCCGUUGAAACUGGCAGUCUCGAGUUGGAGAGAAGUAUGUGGAAUGCGCGGUGUAGCGGUGAAAUGCAUAGAUAUCGCGCAGAACUCCGAUUGCGAAGGCAGCAUGCCGGCUCCACACUGACGCUGAGGCACGAAAGCGUGGGUAUCGAACAGGAUUAGAUACCCCUGUAGUC
This 459-nucleotide ribosomal RNA is filed under the name uncultured bacterium. Its description in RNAcentral is "partial 16S ribosomal RNA". It matches the Rfam family "Bacterial small subunit ribosomal RNA", at positions 338 to 795 of the family's 1533-position model. The record is from RNAcentral.